RNAcentral lists this ribosomal RNA (511 nucleotides) under uncultured bacterium. Its description in RNAcentral is "bacterial SSU rRNA". It matches the Rfam family "Bacterial small subunit ribosomal RNA", at positions 19 to 518 of the family's 1533-position model. The record is from RNAcentral.
CUGGCUCAGGAUGAACGCUAGCUACAGGCUUAACACAUGCAAGUCGAGGGGCAUCAGGAGACUAGCUUGCUAGUUUCGCUGGCGACCGGCGCACGGGUGCGUAACACGUAUCCAACCUACCCAUGGCUCAGGGAUAGCCUUUCGAAAGAAAGAUUAAUACCUGAUGGUUUCCUUCACCCGCAUGGGUGUAUGAAUAAAGAUUCAUCGGCGAUGAAUGGGGAUGCGUCCGAUUAGCUUGUUGGCGGGGUAACGGCCCACCAAGGCGACGAUCGGUAGGGCUCUGAGAGGAGGAUCCCCCACACUGGAACUGAGACACGGUCCAGACUCCUACGGGAGGCAGCAGUGAGGAAUAUUGGUCAAUGGGCGAAGGCCUGAACCAGCCAAAAGUAGCGUGAGGGACGACUGCCCUAUGGGUUGUAAACCUCUUUUGUUUGGGAAUAAAGGACCCCACGCGUGGGGUUUUGCAUGUACCUUACGAAUAAGCAUCGGCUAAUUCCGUGCCAGCCGCAGC